This 61-nucleotide microRNA precursor is filed under the name Pristionchus pacificus. RNAcentral describes it as "mir-8364 microRNA precursor family". It matches the Rfam family "mir-8364 microRNA precursor family". The record is from Rfam by way of RNAcentral. Lineage: Eukaryota; Metazoa; Nematoda; Chromadorea; Rhabditida; Neodiplogasteridae.
UCUUCAUUUCACACACUCUCUCACCGGUCAGAGAGGCGAGAGAGAGUGUAAAACGGAGAGA